This 436-nucleotide ribosomal RNA is filed under the name uncultured bacterium. Its description in RNAcentral is "bacterial SSU rRNA". It matches the Rfam family "Bacterial small subunit ribosomal RNA", at positions 343 to 796 of the family's 1533-position model. The record is from RNAcentral.
AGGAGGCAGCAGUGGGGAAUUUUGCGCAAUGGGGGAAACCCUGACGCAGCAACGCCGCGUGGAGGAUGAAAUCCCUUGGGAUGUAAACUCCUUUCGAUCGGGACGAUUAUGACGGUACCGGAAGAAGAAUCCCCGGCUAACUUCGUGCCAGCAGCCGCGGUAAUACGAGGGGGGCAAGCGUUGUUCGGAAUUAUUGGGCGUAAAGGGCGCGUAGGCGGUUUGACAAGUCUGAUGUGAAAUCUAUGGGCUCAACCCAUAGCCUGCAUUAGAAACUGUCGGGCUUGAGUAUGGGAGAGGUGAGUGGAAUUUCCGGUGUAGCGGUGAAAUGCGUAGAUAUCGGAAGGAACACCUGUGGCGAAAGCGGCUCACUGGACCAUAACUGACGCUGAGGCGCGAAAGCUAGGGGAGCAAACAGGAUUAGAUACCCCGGUAGUCC